GAUGAACGCUGGCGGCGUGCCUAAUACAUGCAAGUCGAGCGAACAGACGAGGAGCUUGCUCCUCUGACGUUAGCGGCGGACGGGUGAGUAACACGUGGAUAACCUACCUAUAAGACUGGGAUAACUUCGGGAAACCGGAGCUAAUACCGGAUAAUAUAUUGAACCGCAUGGUUCAAUAGUGAAAGACGGUUUUGCUGUCACUUAUAGAUGGAUCCGCGCCGCAUUAGCUAGUUGGUAAGGUAAAGGCUUACCAAGGCGGCGAUGCGUAGCCGACCUGAGAGGGUGAUCGGCCACACUGGAACUGAGACACGGUCCAGACUCCGACGGGAGGCAGCAGUAGGGAAUCUUCCGCAAUGGGCGAAAGCCUGACGGAGCAACGCCGCGUGAGUGAUGAAGGUCUUCGGAUCGUAAAGCUCUGUUAUUAGGGAAGAACAAAUGUGUAAGUAACUAUGCACGUCUUGACGGUACCUAAUCAGAAAGCCACGGCUAACUACGUG
Molecule: ribosomal RNA, 497 nt
Filed under: uncultured bacterium
Lineage: Bacteria
Description: partial 16S ribosomal RNA
Rfam family: Bacterial small subunit ribosomal RNA
Source: RNAcentral